AAAAAUCCGGGUGGCAAUGGGAAGCCGUGAUGCGGAGUGAAAUAAAGUAACGAAGUCCGUGAGCCAUGCGUCAAGAAAAGCCGCUAUUGUUUAUACCGUACCCGUACCGUAAACCGACACAGGUGGAUGAGGAGAGAAUCCUAAGGCCGGCGGAAGAAGCAUUGUCAAGGAACUCGGCAAAAUGGCCCCGUAACUUAGGGAUAAGGGGUGCCUGGGAAACCAGGCCGCAGAGAAUAGGCUCAAGCAACUGUUUAGCAAAAACACAGGUCUAUGCGAAACCGAAAGGUGAGGUAUAUGGGCUGACGCCUGCCCGGUGCUGGAAGGUUAAGAGGAGAGGUUAGCGCAAGCGAAGCUUUGAAUUUAAGCCCCAGUAAACGGCGGCCGUAACUAUAACGGUCCUAAGGUAGCGAAAUUCCUUGUCGGGUAAGUUCCGACCCGCACGAAAGGCGUAAUGAUUUGAGCGCUGUCUCGACAAUGCAUCCGGUGAAAUUGAAGUACCAGUGAAGAUGCUGGUUACCUGCGCCAGGACGGAAAGACCCCAUGGAGCUUUACUCCAGUUUGGUACUGGGACUCGGUAUUGCAUGUACAGGAUAGGUGGGAGGCUGAGAGACAGUAACGCCAGUUAUUGUGGAGCUGUGUUGGGAUACCACCCUUGCAGUAUUGGGUUUCUAACCAGCCGCCGUGACCCGGCGGUGGGACAAUGCCAGACGGGGAGUUUGACUGGGGCGGUCGCCUCCGAAAGGGUAUCGGAGGCGCCCAAAGGUUCCCUCAGAAUGGACGGAAACCAUUCGAAGAGUGCAAAGGCAGAAGGGAGCUUGACUGCGACACCGACGGGUGGAGCAGGUACGAAAGUAGGGCUUAGUGAUCCGGUGGUAUUAAGUGGGAAUGCCAUCGCUCAACGGAUAAAAGCUACCCUGGGAUAACAGGCUUAUCACUCCCAAGAGUUCACAUCGACGGAGUGGUUUGGCACCUCGAUGUCGGCUCAUCGCAUCCUGGGGCUGUAGUAGGUCCCAAGGGUUGGGCUGUUCGCCCAUUAAAGCGGUACGCGAGCUGGGUUCAGAACGUCGUGAGACAGUUCGGUCCCUAUCCGGCGUGGGCGUAGGAUAUCUGAGAGGAGCUGUCCUUAGUACGAGAGGACCGGGAUGGACGGGCCGCUGGUGCAUCGGUUAGACUGCCAAGUCUACGGCCGAGUAGCCAAGCCCGGAAGGGAUAAACGCUGAAGGCAUCUAAGCGUGAAGCCCCCCUUAAGAUGAGAUAUCCCAUUCGAAAGAAGUAAACCCCCUUGAAGACGACGAGGUAGAUAGGGCAGAGGUGGAAGUGUGGCAACACAUGGAGCUGACUGUUACUAAUCGGGUGAGGGCUUGACC
Molecule: ribosomal RNA, 1367 nt
Filed under: metagenome
Description: bacterial LSU rRNA
Rfam family: Bacterial large subunit ribosomal RNA
Source: RNAcentral